This 301-nucleotide ribosomal RNA is filed under the name uncultured bacterium. Its description in RNAcentral is "partial 16S ribosomal RNA". It matches the Rfam family "Bacterial small subunit ribosomal RNA", at positions 509 to 807 of the family's 1533-position model. The record is from RNAcentral.
CAGUCGCCGCGGUAAUACGAGGGGGGCAAGCGUUGUUCGGAAUUAUUGGGCGUAAAGGGCGCGUAGGCGGUUUGGCAAGUUUGGUGUGAAAUCUUCGGGCUCAACUCGAAGUCUGCAUCGAAAACUGCCGGGCUUGAGUAUGGGAGAGGUGAGUGGAAUUUCCGGUGUAGCGGUGAAAUGCGUAGAUAUCGGAAGGAACACCUGUGGCGAAAGCGGCUCACUGGACCAUUACUGACGCUGAGGCGCGAAAGCUAGGGGAGCAAACAGGAUUAGAGACCCCGGUAGUCCCUGUCUCUUAUAC